This 304-nucleotide ribosomal RNA is filed under the name uncultured bacterium. RNAcentral's name for it is "partial 16S ribosomal RNA". It matches the Rfam family "Bacterial small subunit ribosomal RNA", at positions 506 to 809 of the family's 1533-position model. The record is from RNAcentral.
CAGCAGUAGCCGCGGUAAUACGAAGGGUGCAAGCGUUAAUCGGAAUUACUGGGUGUAAAGCGUGCGUAGGCGGUGAGUUAAGUCUGCUGUGAAAUCCCCGGGCUCAACCUGGGAAUGGCAGUGGAUACUGGCUCGCUAGAGUGUGUCAGAGGAUGGUGGAAUUCCCGGUGUAGCGGUGAAAUGCGUAGAGAUCGGGAGGAACAUCAGUGGCGAAGGCGGCCAUCUGGGACAACACUGACGCUGAAGCACGAAAGCGUGGGGAGCAAACAGGAUUAGAUACCCGUGUAGUCCCUGUCUCUUACAC